GCCGACAUAGCACAGUUGGUAGUGCAACGCACUCGUAACGCGUAGGUCGCAAGUUCGAGUCUUGCUGUCGGCACCA
RNAcentral lists this transfer RNA (76 nucleotides) under Faecalicoccus acidiformans. RNAcentral describes it as "tRNA-Thr". It matches the Rfam family "tRNA". Rfam says of the family: Transfer RNA (tRNA) molecules are approximately 80 nucleotides in length. RNAcentral also lists the same sequence under 1 other name. Lineage: Bacteria; Bacillati; Bacillota; Erysipelotrichia; Erysipelotrichales; Erysipelotrichaceae. The record is from RNAcentral.